RNAcentral lists this ribosomal RNA (253 nucleotides) under uncultured bacterium. RNAcentral describes it as "partial 16S ribosomal RNA". It matches the Rfam family "Bacterial small subunit ribosomal RNA", at positions 524 to 776 of the family's 1533-position model. The record is from RNAcentral.
UAUGAAGGGGGCUAGCGUUGUUCGGAAUUACUGGGCGUAAAGCGCACGUAGGCGGAUCGAUCAGUCAGGGGUGAAAUCCCAGAGCUCAACUCUGGAACUGCCUUUGAUACUGUCGAUCUAGAGUAUGGAAGAGGUGAGUGGAAUUCCGAGUGUAGAGGUGAAAUUCGUAGAUAUUCGGAGGAACACCAGUGGCGAAGGCGGCUCACUGGUCCAUUACUGACGCUGAGGUGCGAAAGCGUGGGGAGCAAACAGG